ACCGCUGGCGGCGUGCCUAAUACAUGCAAGUCGAGCGAACAGAAGGGAGCUUGCUCCCGGAUGUUAGCGGCGGACGGGUGAGUAACACGUGGGUAACCUGCCUGUAAGACUGGGAUAACUCCGGGAAACCGGAGCUAAUACCGGAUAGUUCCUUGAACCGCAUGGUUCAAGGAUGAAAGACGGUUUCGGCUGUCACUUACAGAUGGACCCGCGGCGCAUUAGCUAGUUGGUGGGGUAAUGGCUCACCAAGGCGACGAUGCGUAGCCGACCUGAGAGGGUGAUCGGCCACACUGGGACUGAGACACGGCCCAGACUCCUACGGGAGGCAGCAGUAGGGAAUCUUCCGCAAUGGACGAAAGUCUGACGGAGCAACGCCGCGUGAGUGAUGAAGGUUUUCGGAUCGUAAAGCUCUGUUGUUAGGGAAGAACAAGUGCGAGAGUAACUGCUCGCACCUUGACGGUACCUAACCAGAAAGCCACGGCUAACUAC
This 489-nucleotide ribosomal RNA is filed under the name Bacillus pumilus. Its description in RNAcentral is "bacterial SSU rRNA". It matches the Rfam family "Bacterial small subunit ribosomal RNA", at positions 34 to 504 of the family's 1533-position model. Lineage: Bacteria; Bacillati; Bacillota; Bacilli; Caryophanales; Bacillaceae. The record is from RNAcentral.